Molecule: ribosomal RNA, 425 nt
Filed under: uncultured bacterium
Lineage: Bacteria
Description: bacterial SSU rRNA
Rfam family: Bacterial small subunit ribosomal RNA
Source: RNAcentral
UGGCGCAAGCCUGAUGCAGCCAUGCCGCGUGUAUGAAGAAGGCCUUCGGUUGUAAGUACUUUCAGCAGUGAGGAAGGUGGGUAUGUUAAUAGCAUACUCAUUUGACGUUAGCUGCAGAAGAAGCACCGGCUAACUCCGUGCCAGCAGCCGCGGUAAUACGGAGGGUGCGAGCGUUAAUCGGAAUUACUGGGCGUAAAGCGCAUGCAGGUGGUUUGUUAAGUCAGAUGUGAAAGCCCGGGGCUCAACCUCGGAAUUGCAUUUGAAACUGGCAAACUAGAGUACUGUAGAGGGGGUAGAAUUUCAGGUGUAGCGGUGAAAUGCGUAGAGAUCUGAAGGAAUACCGGUGGCGAAGGCGGCCCCCUGGACAGAUACUGACACUCAGAUGCGAAAGCGUGGGGAGCAAACAGGAUUAGAUACCCUGGUAG